RNAcentral lists this ribosomal RNA (319 nucleotides) under uncultured Pseudomonadota bacterium. Its description in RNAcentral is "bacterial SSU rRNA". It matches the Rfam family "Bacterial small subunit ribosomal RNA", at positions 29 to 351 of the family's 1533-position model. Lineage: Bacteria; Pseudomonadati; Pseudomonadota. The record is from RNAcentral.
AUUGAACGCUGGCGGAAUGCUUUACACAUGCAAGUCGAGCGGCAGCGCGGGGCAACCUGGCGGCGAGCGGCGAACGGGUGAGUAACACAUCGGAACAUACCCAGUCGUGGGGGAUAACACUUCGAAAGAAGUGCUAAUACCGCAUACGUCCUGAGGGAGAAAGCGGGGGAUCUUCGGACCUCGCGCGAUUGGAGUGGCCGAUGUCAGAUUAGCUAGUUGGUGGGGUAAAGGCCUACCAAGGCGACGAUCCGUAGCUGGUCUGAGAGGACGACCAGCCACACUGGGACUGAGACACGGCCCAGACUCCUACGGGAGGCAG